AACUUUUAACAACGGAUCACUUGGCUCUCGCAUCGAUGAAGAACGCAGCGAAUUGCGAUAAGUAAUGUGAAUUGCAGAUUUUCAGUGAAUCAUCGAAUCUUUGAACGCACCUUGCGCUCCUUGGUAUUCCGAGGAGCAUGCCUGUUUGAGUGUCAUUAAUAUAUAUAUCAGACUUAUCUUUGUUGAGUGGUCUGGAUGUGGGGGUUUUUGCUGGCUUGUUCAGCUCCCCUGAAAUGCAUUAGCAGAACAAACCUUGUUCAUUGGUGUGAUAACUAUCUACGCUAUUGAAUGUGAGGGGAAGUUCAGCUUUCUAACCGUCCUUGGACAAUUCAUCAUUAAUGUGACCUCAAAUCAGGUAGGACUACCCGCUGAACUUAAGCAUAUCAAUAAGCGGAGGCU
Molecule: unclassified non-coding RNA, 399 nt
Filed under: uncultured Cortinarius
Lineage: Eukaryota; Fungi; Basidiomycota; Agaricomycetes; Agaricales; Cortinariaceae
Description: sequence contains ITS2
Rfam family: 5.8S ribosomal RNA (bases 1-155)
Source: RNAcentral